Molecule: ribosomal RNA, 252 nt
Filed under: uncultured bacterium
Lineage: Bacteria
Description: partial 16S ribosomal RNA
Rfam family: Bacterial small subunit ribosomal RNA
Source: RNAcentral
UACGUAGGUCCCGAGCGUUGUCCGGAUUUAUUGGGCGUAAAGCGAGCGCAGGUGGUUUAUUAAGUCUGGUGUAAAAGGCAGUGGCUCAACCAUUGUAUGCAUUGGAAACUGGUAGACUUGAGUGCAGGAGAGGAGAGUGGAAUUCCAUGUGUAGCGGUGAAAGGCGUAGAUAUAUGGAGGAACACCGGUGGCGAGAGCGGCUCUCUGGCCUGUAACUGACACUGAGGCUCGAAAGCGUGGGGAGCAAACAGG